This 578-nucleotide ribosomal RNA is filed under the name uncultured bacterium. RNAcentral's name for it is "partial 16S ribosomal RNA". It matches the Rfam family "Bacterial small subunit ribosomal RNA", at positions 355 to 919 of the family's 1533-position model. The record is from RNAcentral.
UGGGGAAUUUUGGACAAUGGGCGCAAGCCUGAUCCAGCCAUGCCGCGUGCGGGAAGAAGGCCUUCGGGUUUGAUCAACCGCUUUUGUCAGGGAAGAAAUCUUCUGAGUUAAUACCUCGGGAGGAUGACGGUACCUGAAGAAUAAGCACCGGCUAACUACGUGCCAGCAGCCGCGGUAAUACGUAGGGUGCAAGCGUUAAUCGGAAUUACUGGGCGUAAAGCGUGCGCAGGCGGUUUUGUAAGACAGAGGUGAAAUCCCCGGGCUCAACCUGGGAACUGCCUUUGUGACUGCAAGGCUUGAGUGCGGCAGAGGGGGGAUGGAAUUCCGCGUGUAGCAGUGAAAUGCGUAGAUAUGCGGAGGAACACCGAUGGCGAAGGCAAUUCCCCCUGGGGCCUGCACUGACGCUCAUGCACGAAAGCGUGGGGAGCAAACAGGAUUAGAUACCCUGGUAGUCCACGCCCUAAACGAUGUCAACUGGUUGUUGGGGAAGGUUCCUUCUCAGUAACGUAGCUAACGCGUGAAGUUGACCGCCUGGGGAGUACGGCCGCAAGGUUGAAACUUAAAUGAAUUGACGGGGU